Molecule: long non-coding RNA, 528 nt
Organism: Lacerta agilis (Sand lizard)
Lineage: Eukaryota; Metazoa; Chordata; Lepidosauria; Squamata; Lacertidae
Exons: 2
Source: RefSeq, a predicted model, not a curated record
CGGCUCCUGUUAGAGCUCUAUGGUCAGCCGCCAUCUUGUUCUUGCUUCGUACCAGAGGAGAGGAGGAAGGUUGCAUCUCUCGGCCUCAUCAUGUCCCUGCAGUUGCUGAGAAGAGCGGCGCUCAGGCUGCCCAGCCUGGCUCCCCAGCCUGUCAGAGGCGUCACUGCUAAGCCCCCCAAGGAUCCUAUAGGGCCCGUGGAGACGGCUAUUGGCAUGACCACCUUCUUCAUAUCAUUCCUGGUCCCAUCAGGCUGGAUCCUGCUGAACAUAGAAAGCUACAAGACCAGAGAAUCUUAGGAGGAGUGGACCAACCCUCAUCAGCCCUGAAGCACAGGUGCUACUUCCUCCCCAGAUGCAUGGCUUCCUCCAUUCCAGGGAAGAGUUCUCUCCCGUGUCCAUCUCCCAUGGGGACCAGUGUCCUGAAAUAGAUUCUCUGCUGCUUCCCGGCCGUCACAGAGGAUGUAGUUCAAGAUGGCAGCACUCCGGAGACUUAAAUCUGUUACAAUAAAUCCUGUUACAUUCCUGUAA